AGCUCCAAUAGCGUAUAUUAAAGUUGUUGCGGUAAAAAGCUCGUAGUUGGAUUUCUGUUGAGAAUGAUCGGUCCAUACCAUGUAUGCGCAUCUGAUUCAGUCUCGGCAUCCUUUCGUAAUACUACUCUGCGCUUGAUUGCGUGGAUAGGAAUACGGAACUUUUACUUUGAGGAAAUUAGAGUGUUCACGGCAGGCCAACGCCCGAAUACGUUAGCAUGGAAUAAUAAUAUAGGAUCUCGGUUCUAUUUUGUUGGUUUCUAGAAUUGAGGUAAUGAUUAAUAGGGACAAUUGGGGGCAUUUGUAUUAACACGUCAGAGGUGGAAUUCUUGGAUUGUGUUACGACAAACUACUGCGAAAGCAUUUGCCAAGGAUGUUUUCA
RNAcentral lists this ribosomal RNA (379 nucleotides) under uncultured eukaryote. RNAcentral's name for it is "SSU rRNA". It matches the Rfam family "Eukaryotic small subunit ribosomal RNA", at positions 587 to 972 of the family's 1831-position model. The record is from RNAcentral.